GGGCUUAUGAGUUUUGAGUCCAAAAAUCUUCUCCGACCCAUGUAUUUUGGGGGGUAAAAAUUUGAGAAAUGUCAAAUUUGGGGUGGAAUUCUAGUCCAAAUAUUGGUUGGACUGGUAUUUUAUGUGGGCCCAAACUCUACUUUUUCUACUCUUUUUUUUUUUGGCUUGGAAGCCCACUUAAAGACCAAUGUAUCCUGGGCCCCGCAUGACAUUUGCUGUCUGGCAUGCAUGUUAUGCAACACAGCUGGCCCUUGUGCAAGUUGAUUCCAUUCCAACGGCUAUAUUUUCAAAAGUUGUGCUGUGCUGUUUUUUUUUUUGUUUUUUUCCAAUAGCUAUGUUUGUAAUCAACGAUCAGGAUUAAUUUUAGGCAAUCUGAACGAUAAAAUUUCACAUCCAACGGCUCAAAUUUAAAUCCAACGGUCAAAAUAAUAUUUAUAAUUAAUCUAAAUCAGAUCCAACCUCAAAACUUAUUCCAAACUCUAUAAAUAGCCACUCAUUUGAUAAAU
This 506-nucleotide long non-coding RNA is filed under the name Prunus persica (peach). RNAcentral's name for it is "long non-coding RNA (PPER_LNC006798)". The record is from RNAcentral. Lineage: Eukaryota; Viridiplantae; Streptophyta; Magnoliopsida; Rosales; Rosaceae.